AGAUUGAACGCUGGCGGCAUGCUUUACACAUGCAAGUCGAACGGUAACAGGUCUUCGGAUGCUGACGAGUGGCGAACGGGUGAGUAAUACAUCGGAACGUGCCUAGUAGUGGGGGAUAACUACUCGAAAGAGUAGCUAAUACCGCAUGAGAUCUACGGAUGAAAGCAGGGGACCUUCGGGCCUUGUGCUACUAGAGCGGCUGAUGGCAGAUUAGGUAGUUGGUGGGGUAAAGGCUUACCAAGCCUGCGAUCUGUAGCUGGUCUGAGAGGACGACCAGCCACACUGGGACUGAGACACGGCCCAGACUCCUACGGGAGGCAGCAGUGGGGAAUUUUGGACAAUGGGCGAAAGCCUGAUCCAGCAAUGCCGCGUGCAGGAUGAAGGCCCUCGGGUUGUAAACUGCUUUUGUACGGAACGAAAAGCCUGGGGCUAAUAUCCCCGGGUCAUGACGGUACCGUAAGAAUAAGCACCGGCUAACUACGUGCCAGCAGCCGCGGUAAUACGUAGGGUGCAAGCGUUAAUCGGAAUUACUGGGCGUAAAGCGUGCGCAGGCGGUUUUGUAAGACAGUGGUGAAAUCCCCGGGCUCAACCUGGGAACUGCCAUUGUGACUGCAAGGCUAGAGUGCGGCAGAGGGGGAUGGAAUUCCGCGUGUAGCAGUGAAAUGCGUAGAUAUGCGGAGGAACACCGAUGGCGAAGGCAAUCCCCUGGGCCUGCACUGACGCUCA
Molecule: ribosomal RNA, 726 nt
Filed under: Comamonas sp. CCM-011
Lineage: Bacteria; Pseudomonadati; Pseudomonadota; Betaproteobacteria; Burkholderiales; Comamonadaceae
Description: bacterial SSU rRNA
Rfam family: Bacterial small subunit ribosomal RNA
Source: RNAcentral